AACAAUGGCAUAUCCAUUAUUCACUCUCCCUCAAGGGCUUCUGUUGGUUUUCUGGUCGACCGAAUGACCAAGUACCUACACGGAAGACCUUAGGGAGAGUGGAAAAUACUUGCCAUUUGAUUUC
RNAcentral lists this small RNA (124 nucleotides) under Manihot esculenta (cassava). RNAcentral describes it as "precursor microRNA miR477l". The stretch from base 16 to 109 matches the Rfam family "MIR473 microRNA precursor family". The record is from RNAcentral. Lineage: Eukaryota; Viridiplantae; Streptophyta; Magnoliopsida; Malpighiales; Euphorbiaceae.